This 83-nucleotide transfer RNA is filed under the name Deltaproteobacteria bacterium. RNAcentral's name for it is "tRNA-Ser". Lineage: Bacteria; Pseudomonadati; Myxococcota; Myxococcia. The record is from RNAcentral.
GGAAGACGAGGUGGCAAUGGUCGCCACACCGGUCCCGAAAAUCGGGUGCCCGCAAGGGCCGGGUUCGAAUCCUACGUCUUCCG